Oncorhynchus tshawytscha (Chinook salmon) is the source of this 988-nucleotide long non-coding RNA. Lineage: Eukaryota; Metazoa; Chordata; Actinopteri; Salmoniformes; Salmonidae. The record is from Ensembl.
GUGGAUCUGAGUUUCUUUCCCCUGUUGCCUCCAUCAUCCUCCAAAUCCCACCAACAUCAGCUGUCUCAGAGCGCAACUGGUCCUUGUUUGGGAACACACACACCAAAGCACGCAACAGGCUGACCAAUAAAAUGGUUGAAAAAUUGGUGGCCAUACGGGCAAAUUUGAUGCUUUUUGAGCCUGACAAGUUAACCUCAACAAGGUUGAAAAGUGACCGUGAAGAUGAGGUCUCAGAGUCUGAUGUUCAAGAGGUGGACAUUGAGCAGGUCCAGGGAGAAGACAUGGAAGCCUGAGAGGAAGACAACCAAAGCUUUAGUUUCUCGACUAUCAUUUUACAGGUAAAGUUUCCACCUCUGAAUAUUCCCCAAAAUGUGCAACCCUACUCACCACAAAGCUCAAGGCCCUGGGACUGAACUCCUUCCUAUGCAACUGGGUCCUGGACUUCCGGAUGGGCCACCCCCGGGUGAUGACGAUAGGCAACAUUAACCCCGCCACAAUGAUCCUCAACAUGGAGGCCCCACAACGUUGUUUCCUCAGUCCCCUCCUGUACUCCCUGUAUACCCACUACUGCAUGGCUUCACACAGUUCCAACUCCAUCAAGUUCCCCGAAGACUCGACAGUAGUAGUCCUGAUUACCAACAACCUCAGGAGGCAAAAGAAAUUCAAAAUGUCCCAGAGUGCCCUCAAUGUUCUACAGAAGCACCAUUGAGAGCAUACUGACGGGCUGCAUCACAUCACUGCAGCUCCACCGCUACUGAACAUUUGUAAACAUGAGUAUAUUAUUAUUAUUUUUGUAUUAUUGUUUCAUUCACACUCUUGGAGCUUUAGUAUUUCACUGUACACUGCAACUACAUCUGCGACCCUGUGCAUGUGACAAAAUAAAAACAAUCUAAAUCUUAACUAAUGUAAUCUGCUGCCCCUCUCAUUGAGUAUCUCAAAAUGAAGACGACCGGGGUACUGCAGGCUGCCAUUAUCAACUCAAUGAUCC